Non-coding RNA from Parelaphostrongylus tenuis, 71 nucleotides. The record is from the annotation of a GenBank genome assembly. Lineage: Eukaryota; Metazoa; Nematoda; Chromadorea; Rhabditida; Metastrongylidae.
GCUUCAGUGUGCAUUGGUUAGCAUGUAUUCUCUAUAAGCAUGAGACACGGGUUCGAUUCCCGCCUGAGGUU